GCAGAUAUCUGCUCAAUAUCUAUACCUACAUAUCUAGUAGAAAUCACAACAUGUUUAUAUGAAUCUACUAGAACAAUACAGACUUUGAUUGUCAUCCCUUUAUACCUACCUUGAUGCUUUAAAUCUAUUAUUCUCCAGUUUGUCAAAUGUCUUUCCCAAUCUCAGUACAUGGGUAUGUUGGAUAUUUCCUUGUGUACCUAUAAAAAAAUAUUUUUCACAUGGGGAGGUGAGUUCCUGCAGAGUGGGGCUCUGCGCCAGGGCAUACUGGGAAGGAGAAGCUGCGGCCUCUCAUGGAGGGCCUGGCAGAUGCCCCCUUAGCCGGAGCUUGGAACAGACUCAUGGCUGGCGCAGUAAGUUCAAUGGCUGAGGUGAGGCACACCCGGGCCCUAAUAAUGCAAUUCAGACCACUCUCCCCUGC
This 418-nucleotide long non-coding RNA is filed under the name Octodon degus (degu). RNAcentral describes it as "Nuclear RNase P (ENSODEG00000025894.1)". It matches the Rfam family "Nuclear RNase P", at positions 91 to 301 of the family's 301-position model. From Rfam's summary of the family: Ribonuclease P (RNase P) is a ubiquitous endoribonuclease, found in archaea, bacteria and eukarya as well as chloroplasts and mitochondria. Lineage: Eukaryota; Metazoa; Chordata; Mammalia; Rodentia; Octodontidae. The record is from RNAcentral.